Molecule: ribosomal RNA, 543 nt
Filed under: Triticum aestivum (bread wheat)
Lineage: Eukaryota; Viridiplantae; Streptophyta; Magnoliopsida; Poales; Poaceae
Description: partial small subunit ribosomal RNA
Source: RNAcentral
AUGGGAUGGGAUGAGCAUAUUAGGCUUGCCAAUCGACAGUCGGCGACUGUCUUCCUUAACGGCCAUCUGAAUUUUCACACCUAUGACGGCGAGUCACGCCAGUGUCUAGCCGCGGUGGACACGGAGGGGGAAACAUGGACGGACUUCCGCGCCCCUGGUGAUCUAGAUGGCGGUCAUAUUCAGCGGUCGCAGGGCCGCCUCCAUUAUGCCAAUUUUCAUCAAGAUGAAGAUGGCCGUGUGGUUCGACUAGUAGUUCAUGUUCUCGAGGACUAUGACAGCAAAGAAUGGAUAUUGAAGCAUAGUGUUGAAACUUCAUAUUUAUCUGGAGGAACGCAUGUUCUUGGCCUUAAUGUGGACUUCCAUUUGAUUGCGGUUCAUCCGGAAUGUAACUUGAUCUUUUUCAGUGUGGGGUGGGAUACCACCUUCAUGUGCUAUAAUAUGGAUAGUCGGCGGGUCAAAGUGAUCUGCCAUCUUGAAGAUGGCAAGCCGCCAUAUCUGCCGUAUGUGCCGUUGUACACAGAGUUACAAUCACUGCACACAUGA